CUGAGGGCUUAAUAGGUUUUCUGAAGGGAUCAUCAAGUCCAGCUCUUGAUUCCAGAAAGUACCUCCCAAAAAUCAAAGUGUGUGUCUGAGAGUGUUGUCCUCUAUGAGAAGAGACCCCCAUCAGUGUUGUUCUGGGAAGGUUAUCCAUGCCAGAUGUUUGCAGUCCAUUACAGUGUUUUGAUUUCUGGCCACCAACACCUCCAAUAAGAAAAUAUCCUGCCAA
Long non-coding RNA from Lagopus leucura (white-tailed ptarmigan), 223 nucleotides. RefSeq lists it as uncharacterized. The record is from RefSeq and is a predicted model, not a curated record. NCBI's taxonomy places the organism in Eukaryota, Metazoa, Chordata, Aves, Galliformes, Phasianidae. The transcript is spliced from 3 exons.